GGUUUCCCUCCACUUCCUGUCUUAUGAAAAGAAGAAGCAUGAAGUACUUAAAAUGAUUUGGGUCAUUUUAUUUCUUUGGUUGUAAAGCAUGCAUCUGAAGAAUAUUAGUGUGAUCAAGACAAGGAUUCACGGAUUAAGACAUCCAUGAUCGACUGAGGCACGAGGUCCUCUUCAGAUAGAUUACUCACAAGCCCAUGCUGAAGAGGCUUCAGACCAAGGAAUUGGAAGUUGCCGCCUCUUGACAGCUUGCGCUUUAUUCUUCCCCCAUGAAAAGCAUUGUAAGUAAAGAACACCAGCAGUGGCUGCUGUAGC
Molecule: long non-coding RNA, 312 nt
Organism: Mus musculus (house mouse)
Lineage: Eukaryota; Metazoa; Chordata; Mammalia; Rodentia; Muridae
Product: predicted gene, 35308
Exons: 3
Source: RefSeq, a predicted model, not a curated record